GGGGAUUUAGCUCAGUGGUAGAGCGCUUGCCUAGCAAGCACAAGGCCCUGGGUUCAGUCCCCG
This 63-nucleotide transfer RNA is filed under the name Rattus norvegicus (Norway rat). It matches the Rfam family "tRNA", at positions 1 to 62 of the family's 71-position model. From Rfam's summary of the family: Transfer RNA (tRNA) molecules are approximately 80 nucleotides in length. Their secondary structure includes four short double-helical elements and three loops (D, anti-codon, and T loops). Lineage: Eukaryota; Metazoa; Chordata; Mammalia; Rodentia; Muridae. The record is from Rfam by way of RNAcentral.